This 253-nucleotide ribosomal RNA is filed under the name uncultured bacterium. RNAcentral describes it as "partial 16S ribosomal RNA". It matches the Rfam family "Bacterial small subunit ribosomal RNA", at positions 524 to 776 of the family's 1533-position model. The record is from RNAcentral.
UACGGAGGGAGCGAACGUUGUUCGGAUUUACUGGGCGUAAAGGGUGUGUAGGCGGUCUUGCAAGUCAGGGGUGAAAUCUCUCGGCUCAACCGAGAAACUGCCUUUGAGACUGCAGGACUUGAGGGCGUGAGAGGAGACUGGAAUUCCUAGUGUAGCGGUGAAAUGCAUAGAUAUCUGGAGGAAUACCGGUGGCGAAGGCGGCAUCCUGGACCAUAACUGACGCUGAGGCGCGAAAGCUAGGGGAGCAAACGGG